This 1123-nucleotide long non-coding RNA is filed under the name Calidris pygmaea (Spoon-billed sandpiper). RNAcentral describes it as "lncRNA (ENSCPGG00000013271.1)". The record is from RNAcentral. Lineage: Eukaryota; Metazoa; Chordata; Aves; Charadriiformes; Scolopacidae.
CUGCUGUGACAUGGCCUCCUGUCUUCUCUACUAGUUGAGUCCAGACAGACACAUGAAAAGUGUUCUGAAUAACAGAAUGAGCAUCUUCUUAGUUUGCAUUCAAGCAGUGCUUUAUGGUUGGGUGUAAGCUUGCUUCGAAUUUCACUCUGGGCCUAGAAAUAAUAUGAGAGCUGGUUAAAGACCAGGACUUGUUCCUGUCCUUACUACUGUAGUUCUCACGUUUACACCAGGGACCAUUUAUUCCCUCUUUGCGCUGGAAAUGCUGAGAGCAGCAGACGAGGUUUCUUGGCCUGUGGUACCUCCUGACGUCUGGAGCACGAAUCCUGCAAUAUUACAGAAACCAGGUUGGAAAAAAAGCCUUUAGUAACAGAGUUCACAUUUGAUACGUUGGGGAGGAUUGAUUUAAAGAAUGCUGCUGUGUUUUUUAAGUUUUAUUGCAGACUUCACUUCUGCAAAUUCUCCAUGGACCAUGUAGACAUCCCCUGUAAUUCUUGGACUUGCUUCUUUCAAAGCACCAGCUCUCGCUGUAAGGUGACCCCUAGCUGAAGAGUCCUGGCACUUCACACCCUGAAGCUCUUACUCAGCCUGUUUUCCAAGCUGGAGCUCAGACCCUAACAGCAAUCUUGCAGGGACUGGUGUAUUCAAAAAUUCUCUUUUAAUUCAGGCUCCGGGAUACUGUGGUUUGCGUUAUGAAAAAGUUAUGCGAGAUGUUUUUGGACAAGCCACCCAACAGCACGUGUCACGAGUGGGUGCAGUGACUCUGUGCGGUGCCAGAGGUCCUAGGAGUCUGUGAAUUGGGUAAGUCACAGGCACGCUUCCUUUUUUUGAGCUGGAUCUGUUUGGUAGCAGCGAUUUUAAAAUCACAGUACUUUUUAAACCAAAAUGAGCCUGUGAUACUGGCAGGUUAUCUGCAAUUCUGCAUUCCUUAGGUGUUUUGUGCUGUUCAAUGGGUGCAACCUUCGCUCGGCCGCAGAACGCGUUCUGCUGCUUUGCUGGAGUUUGUGCAGGGAUGUGUCAGUGGCAGAACUGACUGUUCUCCUUUCCCUCCAGCUCUGCUAGUUACUUCAUUAGUACAGGUAUAAUUGUUGCAAUUUAACAAACUGCAGGCAGGGCAUGCGAUCUG